CAUUUCCUUCACUCAUGAUAAUAAAACCAAUAUGUGAGGCUAUUAAUUUGAUCAUCAUGAAGGAGGUAGUCUUACAUUUGUUCUUAAUCUGUUCUCAAACCAUGAGCCUCUCAUUCUAGGCCUGUCGAGGCUCUUCAAAUACAAGAAGACCUGGUGGUGCAGCAGCCAGUGGAUGUUCUGCUGGUCAGCAGUGAUGGUGAAAUAGAGGAUAAUGAAUCCGUCCAGCUCUCACUAAGUGAGUUUAGCAGGCCAGUAUCUGGACUACUGCCAGACGACCUCAGUGUGAGGACGAAGGUCUCCUCAAAGAUGGAUGGCAGGGUACAGGUCUCACUGCUGACAAUACAUACAACAUAUAAGAUGUAUGGUGAUAUCCUACAAACACUCAACGCUUGCAAUAGAAGCAGGGACAUCAAACAGUACAUGAAGAGUCCUUCCUUGUAAGGAAGGAUUCUACAUGCGAAUAGUUCUCUGCGCAACAGCUACGCUACAAAUAGCCUACGCAGAGGAGGAAAUGUGCAUGUGAUAUGGUGCUCCUCAACUCAUAACUUUUCAUCUCCUCCCUCCAAGGUGACAAGCAAUCCAUGGUAGUUCAAACAUACGCUGCAGCACUCUUGAUAACGGCUUGAGCUGAGAUGAGUGGGUGAUGAGGCUCACUUGUUUUCUCCACACCAGCCACCCCAGGAAAACUUCCAGUCUUUAUAAAAAUAAAGAAAACUACAAUCACUUUUUUUUCUGCCCUAAGGUUUUGCAAAGAAAGAAAAUGAGAGAGAGAGAGAGAGAGAGAGAGAGAGAGAGAGAGAGAGAGAGAGAGAGAGAGAGAGAGAGAGAGAGAGAGAGAGAGAAAGACGAAU
Scylla paramamosain (green mud crab) is the source of this 851-nucleotide long non-coding RNA. RefSeq lists it as uncharacterized. The transcript has 4 exons. The record is from RefSeq and is a predicted model, not a curated record. Lineage: Eukaryota; Metazoa; Arthropoda; Malacostraca; Decapoda; Portunidae.